AGCUCACGUCUUGGUCGUUUUACAGGGCCGGUAUAGCCGAGUUCAUAGCCACUUUUCUUUUCUUGUACAUCUCCGUAUUGACAGUGAUGGGCGUCGUCAAGUCCAACACCAAGUGCUCAACCGUCGGCAUUCAAGGGAUUGCAUGGGCCUUCGGUGGCAUGAUCUUCGCGCUCGUUUACUGCACAGCUGGCAUCUCGGGUUUGUACCAGCUGCGCUUCUGGUUAAUUAAUUUUAUGAGCAAAAUAACUAAAGGGUUCGACAAAAUAAUUUUUGAUUUUUUAAACUUUUUGUUGUGACGCAGGUGGUCAUAUCAACCCGGCGGUGACAUUCGGGCUGUUCUUGGCGAGGAAGCUGUCGUUGACACGUGCACUUUUCUACAUGGUGAUGCAGUGUCUGGGAGCCAUCUGUGGUGCUGGCGUUGUAAAGGGUUUCAUGGGUGCCGGCCAAUACGGUCGGCUCGGCGGCGGUGCCAAUGCUGUAGCUCAUGGCUACACCAAGGGUGAUGGUCUUGGUGCCGAGAUUAUUGGUACUUUUGUUCUUGUCUACACAGUUUUCUCUGCCACUGACGCCAAACGUAGCGCCAGAGACUCUCAUGUUCCUGUAAGUUGAUUCUUUUUCUGGUUAAUGUAUGAUUAAUUAACCAAUAAUAAUCAUAAUUAUUACCUUUACUAAUAACUACCUUAUUGAAUAUGGUUAGAUUUUGGCUCCUUUGCCAAUUGGGUUCGCUGUGUUCUUGGUUCACUUGGCUACUAUCCCUAUUACCGGAACUGGCAUCAACCCCGCAAGGAGUCUUGGAGCUGCAAUCAUCUACAACAAGGACCACGGUUGGGAUGACCAUGUAAGUUUAAUUUACUCUCUUGAUUACCCUAAAAUAAGAUCUCGGUCAUCAAGAUUACACUUGUGGACGUAAAUUCAAUAAUGGUAAUUAAUCAGUUAAUCAUGAUCAAUCUUAUAUAUGGUUUUGAUGCAGUGGAUUUUCUGGGUGGGACCAUUCAUUGGAGCAGCACUUGCAGCUUUGUACCACCAGGUUGUGAUCAGAGCCAUUCCGUUCAAAUCAAGCUGAUGGUCUUAUGAACGGUCGUGAUUGCUGAUGCAUUUGUUUAUGGCUGUCGUUGGUGGUUCUGUUUUAUAUUUUAGAUUAUCCCAAGUCCAUGCAUUUUCGGUUCGUUAAAUUUUCUGGUUGUUUGGUUUUGUGUAUGAAUUUUCUGUAAUGCCUAUGCACAAAGAAGCCGCUGGCAGUGGCUUUAUUUAAAUUUAUGUAGUUUAUUUUUUCUUAAAAAGCAAAGUAAUUUCAUUAAACAAUAAACAGUACAAUAAUGAUACACAAUACUACAAUAGUAGAUCCACACACUCUAAAUAUAUAUAUGCGGAUAAAACUGUAUAUUACAAACAUAUAAUAUAUAUAAUUAAUAAAUGGAUCUUAUCGAAUUUUUUGAAUACUAGCCAACCAAAAAGAAUUUGCCUUAGUUGAAGAGGCGUUGUUAGAAGCAUAAUCAUUAUGUAUUAUGGAACACCAUAUAUAUGCUCGCUAUCGUAUGAAGUUUGCGUGCUGGUAUUUUUUUGCGUUUUGGUUAUAAAUGAAUGUCGUUUGGAGAAUUGUUAUAUAUGUACAUAAAAUUUCAAAUUAAAAAAAAAAAUGGUUAUGAUGCUAUGAUGUAAUAUUGAAGUUUAUGGUCAAUCCAAAAGAAAAUGACUUACAAAGGAAAUGGAAUAGAUUUAAUUUAAUUAACAUUGUCGAUUAUACGACAAUUUUAAAUGGCGGAGGAUUUACUACGUAAAUUUGGAUUCAGUAUUAAGCUGACUUUUUUAAUAAUUUUUUUUAAAGAUACAAUUAAUAGUUAUUAUAUAAGAAAACAAAACUAAUCAACUUUUAAUCGUGUAUAGCUAAACAUGCACGGAUGUUUUGCUCUGUUUUGUUGCAAUGUAAUAUUACUUCUUUGUAUGGUUAAAACCAACAUUGCAUAACUAAAGAAGGGUAAAAGCUCGUUUAGUCUCUAUAUUUUGAAGUUAGUGCCCGUUUAGUCCCUAUAUUUUUAAAAAUACCUUAAACCAUCCCUACCAUUAAAUUAUUGACACUUUUGCCAUUAUCUUUUGUUCCUUUUAACUUAUUUUUAUAAUAUUGCUCUAUUAUAAUAAUUUUUUAGACAUUAUUAAAAAGAAAAAAAUAACCCUAUUAUAAUAAUUUUUUAGACAUUAUUAAAAAGGAAAAAAUAAAUUACCAGUUUAACACCAAAAAAUAAAAUAAAAUAAAAUAAUAUAUAUUAAUUUUUGUGGAACACACUCUUGAGUUAAAAUAUUAAUUUUUCUAAAAAAAUUGAUAAUGUAAUUUUUUACGAUAUUAAUUUUUUAGACAUACGUGAGUUUCCACAAAAAUUAAUAUAUACCUUUUUUGUUUUUAUUUUAUUUUUGAGUUUAAUUUGAUAAUUUAAUUUUUUAUUAAUAUCCAAAAAAGAAACAUUAUUGUAAAAAUGUAAUAUUGUAAAAGCAAGUUAAAAAUAAUAAAAAAUAAUCGCAUAAGUGUCAAUAUUUAGUAACAGGGACGUUUUGAGGUGUUUUUAAAAAUAUAGGGACUAAAUGAACACUAACCUCAUAAUAUAAGGACUAAAUUACAAGCUUUUACCCACUAAAGAAUUAUACAUUGUUUGCUUUUACUUUUUUUUUUUAAUGAAGGAUAGACAUUUGUACAACUAUACGAGAGAAUCACUAGUUUAUUAUAUAAAAAAUAUAUAUGCAAAUAAUGAAACCAAACUUCAAGAGUUUUAUGUGAUGACAUCCCAAAAUGUUAUCCCAAAUUAUAUGGCACGUGAUGUAUCAUUUAUUAAGUGGUUGAUGAUCUUUAAUAAAUUCUAAAUGAAUUAAUUAAAUUAUCUUACCAAUAAGUGAAUAAAUCCACAUCAUUUAGGAUGAAAUUUACUAUUGACUAAUUAAAUUUUUUUACUAUUAAAAAAAUAAUCUAUAGUAUUUCAUUCUUUAAAUGGAUAAGAAUUAAAAGAAUAGAAAUUAUGAGAGUAGAAAAUUAGAUUUAUAGUAUCAAGUAUGUUAAUAACUCUUUAGUUGAGUUGGUUCAUGCCAACUCUUAUUAUCUGAAAGGUCGAGGUUUUGAGUGUUUUAUAUUUAUGAGAGUAAAAUUUAACAUAAAAAAUAGUGUCAAUAUAACCUGCUCCGUUUGGAGGCAAUUUCAUAGAUAGGCUACUUUAUAAAUUUCUCAAUUUUAUAAUUUACUUAAAUAAAAAAGUAAUGUCAUUUUAGUGCAUUUUUAAUUUUUUUUUAACUCAUAUGAUGGUGCAUUUUUUAAUUCAAUAAAAAGGUACAGUCACUUCUUUGUUGUCUAUAGUUUUCAUGUUUAUGUAAUAAAAUUAUGGGUUCAUGUUGUUUCAUAUAUUUAUGUGACGUGACUCGUAUCGUUUUCUAUAUAGGGGCAUGCAGCUUGAAUAUUAUUGAGCUUAAAUUCGCUCAAAUAUUAAGGUCCAUAAAACAUUCCCUCCAAAUAGAUUACAAAUAUAAUUAAAAAGAUGCAUUUAACCUUUCUUUGCCAGAAAGAAAUGACGAAGCUAAUUAAAGCACAAACCCAACUAUUGAUUGCAAAUAUCAUGAAGAUUAUUCAAUAUCAUCCAGACAAAUCACUACAACAAUAACACGCUAUAAGAAACAUGUUAGUUGACAUGAUUGGCAUAAUUAAUUUCCAUGAAUUCGCCAUUAACUACCGUCCUGUGUAAUAUAUAAAAAUACCUGCCAGCAUAAAAUUUCUCUAUGAUUUUGUACUUAUUAAGAGAUAAUCAUUCGCUACAGCUGCCUAAUGCAGGAAGGAUUAUGAUCCUCUCUUAAUAUGAUAUUUUCAUAAAUAAAUUUUAUUAAUGUCGUUGGUGGUUAAUAAAUAAAAAAGUAAAGAUAAUUAAAUCAUAAUUAUAUAUUAGCACCAAAAUACAAGUUGUAUAAAAUCUAUAAAAUAUUAGAAAAACUCAUAUCAUGAGAGGAUUCUAGUCCAUGUAGGAAUAACAUCAAUUAGAAAAAUUAUAAUUCAAAUUAUGUGCAUAAACGCCACCCAAAAAAAAAGAAUACUAUUUUUUACUGUAGUAAUUGAUCUAAAUUCAUUUUUAAGUCGCUUCCAACUCCUGAACUUUUUUUUCGUAAGUAAUACUCAAAAAUUAAGUUAAUUGUUGUAUCAAUUUAUUUUUAUAACCUAGUGUAUUUUCAGGAAGAGUAAAAUUAUUGAUUACGACGAUGCUAUCUUUAUAACAUAAAUAGGUUUCUAAAUUCUAAUGUAGACGUUCAUGCGUUAAAAAUAUAAAUACAAAGCAACACAUUGUUCUGUUCCUAAACAUUAUCCGAGGGAGAGCUAGUUAUGCAAGUUGUAAAAAAAAAAAAAAUGUACUUAAGUAUAUUUUAUAGUCUUCUGAGUUCAACUGUUAAAAAAUUGCCUAUAUGUCUUAGGGUUUAUUUGUGAUUGAAAUUUAAAAUCUACGGCACUAAAGUAUAUGGUAAACACUAGUUACUGUAACUUGAAAGUUAUGUUGAUAUGAAUUUUCAAUUGUAUGAUGGAAGAUCUAUUAUAUCUUUAAUAAUUUUGUUAAAAUUAUUAUUUAAAAUUUAUAUUUACUAUAUAUUAUCAAUUUUUGUUUCAUAAUUACAAUUUUUUCCAUAGCAGCUGUAACUUAAAAGUUACAGCACCUUAAUCCCAAAAAGAACUUUAUUGACGACUUCUCGACGUUAAAUCAUAACUUCGAUCAACUAGGGCUGUAAUUUUUUUUAAUAAUGUUACAGUCCCCUAAUAUUUAGAAUAAAGGGUCUACUAGAACUUUCUAAUCAAUUUUGUGACUGUGCAGUCAGAUUGGCUCUAAAUAACAUAAAUUAAUAUUAUAUAGUAAAUAUGAAAUAAAAAUUAAUAGUACAUAGUAAACACAAUUUUUAAACAAUAAUUUUGUUAAAAUUAAUAAAAAUAUAAUAGAUUUUUUAUCAUAUAAGUAUAAACUCAAAUCAACUUAACUUGCAAGUUACAAUAAUUAAUAUAUAAAAAAUAUUUUAGUACUAUAACUUUGAAAUUAUAAUUGUCUAAUUUCAAUUCCAACCGAGCUAGGGGUGGCAAAAAUACCCGCCUGGUCCAGACCCGUACCGCACCCGGGCGUUGUGGGCAUGGUAUUACCCAGCUUGAGUAUGAAGCCAGACCGAUCUUGAGCAUCACUUGAUAAAUUCGGAGCUCGGCUCGGAACCCAAAUUUUAUUAAAAAAAUAUUAUAAAAUAUAUACUAUUUUAAAUAUUUAUAUUUAUUUGACUCAUUUAUUACACAUAUAUAAAAUUUUAAACACUUAAAGUUUAUAUUUUUAUAUCAAAUUUUAUUGAAAUAAAUUUAAAACUUAUAAAAUUACCAAAAAAAAUAUACACAUAUAAUAUUAAAAAAUAUAAAAUUUAGGUACUCGCAUUAAAACUUGAUCCGAACAUCUAAAAAUUACAUCCAAACUAAGUCUGGACAUUGCGAUACCCGAACCCAACCCAGGAUUUUGCCAACCCUAAACCGAGCCUUCGACUUCUAAAUAAAUAUUUUGAAACAACGACGGAUAAAAUAAAUAAAGCCAUUCAAAUAGGAACGGACUAAUUCAUGGAGGCAUCAAUUCGUAAAGUUACAGUCGUGCCAGUGAACCAAUUCCUUAGAGCGAAAUGGACACACGGAAAGGACAAUAGGCCAGAGCAACCGACAUAAUUCACAUUAAGAAAAUGACAAUAAAGCUGAUUGAUAAUGAGAAAGACUUUGAGAGUGUAAAACGAAAUUAAAAUUAAAUAACCUACUUGCUUUGGUUUCUGUAAUUUGCCCUAAAAAGAGCAAUGAAAUUACGUAAUAAAUCCCGUGAUCAUCAUGUCCCAAUUCCCACCCACUCGGUCUGCUUGACCCUUGAUGGACGGUGGCCACAACAUCAUUACAGAUGUGGAUGAAAUUGAGCCAGCUAGGAUACCCCAACGUAAUGUCAUUUUUCUUUCUAAAUAGUCUAAGCGCAUUUAAGUAAUUUCCACAAAAUUCCAAGAAAAUGAUUGGUCGGUCACAAGAUAAGUAAGUAAAUUCAAUUUUAUACACCAAAUUGGAGCCCACCACCUGCACUCAUCACUCCCUGAUCCGGAUGAUAUAACCCCCUUCCCCCAACUUCUAGUACUCUCUCACUCAUUCUCAUCACAACAUCAAACGGCCACAAACAAAAAAGCAAGUGCUUCUUAUUGACUGUUUUGUGUUUUUGAGGGACUAGCAGAAAUGGAAGGUAAAGAAGAGGAUGUUAGACUGGGAGCCAACAAGUUCGCCGAGAGGCAGCCGAUUGGGACGGCGGCUCAGACCCAAGAUGGGAAGGACUACGUUGAGCCCCCACCGGCGCCGCUCUUUGAGCCCGGCGAGCUCAAGUCUUGGUCGUUUUACAGGGCCGGUAUAGCCGAGUUCAUAGCCACUUUUCUUUUCUUGUACAUCUCCGUACUGACAGUGAUGGGCGUCGUCAAGUCCAAUACCAAGUGCUCAACCGUCGGCAUUCAAGGGAUUGCAUGGGCCUUCGGUGGCAUGAUCUUCGUGCUCGUUUACUGCACAGCUGGCAUCUCGGGUUCGUACCGGCUGCGCCUCUGCUUGGUUAAUUUUAUAAGCAAAAUAUCUAAAGUGUUUUUAAAACUGUUUGUUUUGACGCAGGUGGUCAUAUCAACCCGGCGGUGACACUCGGCCUGUUCUUGGCGAGGAAGCUGUCGCUGACACGUGCACUUUUCUACAUGGUGAUGCAGUGUCUGGGAGCCAUCUGCGGUGCUGGCGUUGUAAAGGGUUUCAUGGGUGCCGGCCAAUACGGGCGGCUCGCCGGCGGUGCCAACGUCGUAGCUCAUGGCUACACCAAGGGUGAUGGUCUUGGUGCCGAGAUUAUUGGUACUUUUGUUCUUGUCUACACAGUUUUCUCUGCCACUGAUGCCAAACGGAGCGCCAGGGACUCUCAUGUUCCUGUAAGUUAACUCCGUUUCUAAUAAAUUGUAUAAUUAAUUACCAAUACUUGAUUAUUUUUACUAAUCACUAUAUUAUUGAGUAUGGUUAGAUUUUGGCUCCUCUGCCAAUUGGGUUCGCUGUGUUUUUGGUUCACUUGGCUACCAUCCCAAUUACCGGAACUGGCAUCAACCCAGCGAGGAGUCUUGGAGCUGCAAUCAUCUACAACAAGGACCGCGGUUGGGAUGACCACGUACGUUUAAUUUACUCUUUUGAUUACCCUAAAAUAAGAUCUUGAUCAUCAAGAUUUAUGCUUGUAGAAAUAAAUCUAACUGUGAUAAUUAAUCAAUUAAUCAUGAUCAAUCUUAUGUAUGGUUUGAUGCAGUGGAUUUUCUGGGUGGGACCAUUCGUUGGAGCUGGACUUGCAGCUUUGUACCACCAAGUCGUGAUCAGAGCCAUUCCCUUCAAAUGAAGCUGAUCGCUUCAUCGACGUUCGUGAUUGCACCUGCAUUUGUUUAUGGCUGUUGCUGGUUUGCUUAUGUGUAUUAUAAAAUAUUAAUUAGUCCUUUGUUCAAAUCUGCUGGUGCUGGACCUGGACCUGCUUCUGUGUUUUCCUUCCUUAAAACGUUUUUUUUUUUUUUUUGAAGAGAGGUCGAUGAUGAUGACGGAUGGGCCCAUGGCUAAGUAGGUGGGCGCUGUCACUUUGUACAUUUGUAUGGCUGUGGAUUUGUGCAAUGUCAUCUUGGUAAUAAUAUGGACAAAACUAGUUCUAUUACUUUUAUUAUGUGAUCUUUUUACAUUGGUCAUCUAAAUUAUUUCUUUCUAGGAUUUACCUAUACGUAUGUUAUAUAUGUGUAUAAUUGUGAUUGAUGGAUCGGUACCUGCCGUUGCUUUCAUGCAUCAGCACCAUCCUCUUGUUCGCGUAGCGUGGGCCUUGCGAAAGAAGAUAGAGCUUCUAUUACUGACUCUUUUUUUUUUUGUUUGGGGGCUUAAUUUAAUAUUAAUUAGUUAAAUAAAUAACAUAAAAGUAUCCAAGCAUAUCCCAACGGCGAUUGGAGAACUUAUGUGUCCAGAGAUUUCCAAUAUGAUCCGGGUUUAUAAAUCAUACCAUGAAAUUGAUAAAUUAAGUUACGCGCAGACUAGAAAUAUCUUGCUCUUAUCUAAUUUCUAGAGCGCUCUUCACUCAUGC
Molecule: long non-coding RNA, 8117 nt
Filed under: Citrus sinensis (sweet orange)
Lineage: Eukaryota; Viridiplantae; Streptophyta; Magnoliopsida; Sapindales; Rutaceae
Description: long non-coding RNA (CSIN_LNC003264)
Source: RNAcentral